RNAcentral lists this ribosomal RNA (471 nucleotides) under uncultured bacterium. Its description in RNAcentral is "bacterial SSU rRNA". It matches the Rfam family "Bacterial small subunit ribosomal RNA", at positions 28 to 507 of the family's 1533-position model. The record is from RNAcentral.
GAUGAACGCUGGCGGCGUGCCUCAAACAUGCAAGUCGAGCGAGGCUAUGAGUUACCGCAAGGUAAGGCAUAGCCUAGCGGCGAACGGGUGAGUAACACGUGGGUAACCUACCUGGAAGACAGGGAUAACGAUUCGAAAGGGUCGCUAAUACCUGAUAAUAUCCAUCUGCCGGAUGGCGGAGGGAAGAAAGGGGAAACCCGCUUUCAGAUGGGCCCGCGUCCCAUCAGCUAGUUGGUAAGGUAAAGGCUUACCAAGGCGACGACGGGUAGCCGGUCUGAGAGGAUGUACGGCCACACUGGGACUGAGAUACGGCCCAGACUCCUACGGGAGGCAGCAGUUGGGAAUCUUAGGCAAUGGACGAAAGUCUGACCUAGCGACGCCGCGUGAGGGAAGAAGGCCUUCGGUUGUAAACUCUGUCAUGGGGAAGAAGGAAGUGACGGUACCCCAAGAGGAAGCCCUGCUAACUACGUG